RNAcentral lists this ribosomal RNA (253 nucleotides) under uncultured bacterium. RNAcentral's name for it is "partial 16S ribosomal RNA". It matches the Rfam family "Bacterial small subunit ribosomal RNA", at positions 524 to 776 of the family's 1533-position model. The record is from RNAcentral.
UACGAAGGGUGCAAGCGUUAUCCGGAUUUAUUGGGUUUAAAGGGUCCGUAGGCGGAUCUGUAAGUCAGUGGUGAAAUCUCACAGCUUAACUGUGAAACUGCCAUUGAUACUGCAGGUCUUGAGUGUUAUUGAAGUAGCUGGAAUAAGUAGUGUAGCGGUGAAAUGCAUAGAUAUUACUUAGAACACCAAUUGCGAAGGCAGGUUACUAAGCAACAACUGACGCUGAUGGACGAAAGCGUGGGGAGCGAACAGG